Molecule: ribosomal RNA, 501 nt
Filed under: uncultured bacterium
Lineage: Bacteria
Description: partial 16S ribosomal RNA
Rfam family: Bacterial small subunit ribosomal RNA
Source: RNAcentral
GACGAACGCUGGCGGCAGGCUUAACACAUGCAAGUCGAGCGGGGAAGGGUAGCUUGCUACCUAACCUAGCGGCGGACGGGUGAGUAAUGCUUAGGAAUCUGCCUAUUAGUGGGGGACAACAUUUCGAAAGGGAUGCUAAUACCGCAUACGCCCUAAGGGGGAAAGCAGGGGAUCUUCGGACCUUACGCUAAUAGAUGGGCCUAAGUCGGAUUAGCUAGUUGGUGGGGUAAAGGCCUACCAAGGCGACGAUCUGUAGCGGGUCUGAGAGGAUGAUCCGCCACACUGGGACUGAGACACGGCCCAGACUCCUACGGGAGGCAGCAGUGGGGAAUAUUGGACAAUGGGGGGAACCCUGAUCCAGCCAUGCCGCGUGUGUGAAGAAGGCCUUUUGGUUGUAAAGCACUUUAAGCGAGGAGGAGGCUACCGAGAUUAAUACUCUUGGAUAGUGGACGUUACUCGCAGAAUAAGCACCGGCUAACUCUGUGCCAGCCGCCGCAGUAA